Serinus canaria (Common canary) is the source of this 534-nucleotide non-coding RNA. The record is from the annotation of a RefSeq genome assembly. NCBI's taxonomy places the organism in Eukaryota, Metazoa, Chordata, Aves, Passeriformes, Fringillidae.
GGCCCGAGCGCGGCUCCGCUCGGCUCCUGUGCGGCUGCCGCGGGGCCGGGGCCGGCAGCGAUGUUGGCGGGGCCGGGGCCGGGGCUGCUGGCCUUGGCCUUGGCCUUGUGGCCGGCAGGGCUCCGGGCACAGCCGAGGCUGCAGGAGGCCGGCGGAGGGCAGCGAGCACCCGGGGACUCCGUCACCCUCUCCUGCCGCGGAUCCGGAUUCACCUUCGAGGAUCGCUCUAUUCGGUGGUACCGUCAGGCGCCCGGAGGCAGCCUGGAGUGGGUGUCCUUUAUCAGCUACUCCAGGAUUACUAAAGUGGACUACGGGGCAGCAGUGAAGGAUCGGGCCGAGAUAUCCCGGGACAAUUCCCGAUCCGAGGCUUAUCUCUCUCUGCGGUCCUUGCAAGCUCAGGACUCUGCCCGGUAUUUCUGUGCCCUCCCACGGUGACAGGAAAUGCAGAUGAGCUUUAACACAAACCUCCCGGGGCCCGGCAGAGAAUGCCUUAGAUGCCGAGAAAGUGAGAGUUGCCAUGGGCUGGAGCCAGUU